RNAcentral lists this unclassified non-coding RNA (358 nucleotides) under uncultured fungus. RNAcentral's name for it is "partial contains small subunit ribosomal RNA, internal transcribed spacer 1, and 5.8S ribosomal RNA". The stretch from base 1 to 73 matches the Rfam family "Eukaryotic small subunit ribosomal RNA", at positions 1759 to 1831 of the family's 1831-position model. The record is from RNAcentral. Lineage: Eukaryota; Fungi.
GCAAACUUGGUCAUUUAGAGGAAGUAAAAGUCGUAACAAGGUCUCCGUUGGUGAACCAGCGGAGGGAUCAUUAUAGAGUUAUUCAACUCCCAACCCUGUGAACAAUACUUGUUUUGUUGCCUCGGCAGGUCGUGACUUACCCUGUAGCACUUACCCUGGAAUGCCUACCCUGUAGAAGUUACCCUGUAACACCUACCCUGUAGUGCAUACCCUGGAGCGGUCUGCAUGGAAAUCACGUUUAUGGCCUGCCGGAGGACCAAAUCAACUCUUGAUUAUAUUGUCUCUGAAUAUUAUAACUAAAUCAGUUAAAACUUUCAACAACGGAUCUCUUGGUUCUGGCAUCGAUGAAGAACGCAGC